Long non-coding RNA from Gasterosteus aculeatus aculeatus (three-spined stickleback), 328 nucleotides. The record is from Ensembl. NCBI's taxonomy places the organism in Eukaryota, Metazoa, Chordata, Actinopteri, Perciformes, Gasterosteidae.
AUCCUAUUCUGCCUUUCUAUUUACAGAAAAAUAAUUUUGAAUGUAAACUUGCAUAAAUAAAAGGGGUUUUGAUCCCAAAAGACGUCGGAUGCUGAUAUUAACAGGCUGAUGCCUGCUUGCUUGUCAUGCUGGCUCACAUCUUCUUUGUCAGGCUGGCAACCGAGACCCGGGACAUUUAUAUGAACAGCUGGUAGCAUAAGAGGUAUGGGGACAUGUGAUGGAGUAACUUGAUAAGUCCAAGCACCAAAGGCGAAUGCAACACUUGGAUCCAGAGUCCUGUAACAUAAAACUGCAGCAGUGGUCAUCGGUAUUCACUCUGAUCUUUUCC